UGGGGGCAAGCCUGAUCCAACCAUGCCGCGUGAGGGAAGAAGGCCUUAGGGUUGUAAAGCUUUUUCACCGGGGACGAUAAUGACGGUAGCCGGAGAAGAAGCCCCGGCUAACUCCGUGCCAGCAGCCGGGGUAAUACGGAGGGGGCUAGCGUUGUUUGGAAUUACUGGGCGUAAAGCGCACGUAGGCGGACAUUCAAGUUGGGGGUGAAAGCCCGGGGCUCAACCUCGGAAUUUCCUUCAAAACUGGAUUUUUUGAGGCCGGGAGAGGGUGGUGGAAUUCCCGGUGUAGAGGUGAAAUUUGUAGAUUUUGGGAAGAACCCCAGUGGGGAAGGCGGCUAUAUGGACCGGUUUUGACGUUGAGGUGGGAAAGCGUGGGGGGCAAACAGGAUUAGAUACCCUGGUAGUCCACGCUGUAAACGAUGGGUGCCAGAUGUCGGGGGUCUAGACUUCGGUGUCGCAGUAACGCGUAAGCACUCCGCCUGGGA
Molecule: ribosomal RNA, 485 nt
Filed under: uncultured bacterium
Lineage: Bacteria
Description: bacterial SSU rRNA
Rfam family: Bacterial small subunit ribosomal RNA
Source: RNAcentral